Apis florea (little honeybee) is the source of this 2035-nucleotide RNA transcript. RefSeq lists it as uncharacterized. NCBI's taxonomy places the organism in Eukaryota, Metazoa, Arthropoda, Insecta, Hymenoptera, Apidae. The record is from RefSeq and is a predicted model, not a curated record.
UUUAGAAAUAAGUGAAAUAUAUAUCUAUAAAUGGAAGGUGCACCAGCUAGUAGAGGUGGAUUUCGCGGUGGUCGUGGUGGUCCUGGUGGUCCUAUGAGAGGACGCGGAGGUUUUGGAGACAGGGGAAGGGGUGGACCUCCAAGAGGAGGAGGAGGUAUGAUGAGAGGUGGUAGAGGUAGUGGACCUGGAGGUGGUAUGAGAGGUGGACCACCUGGAAUGAGAGGCAGAGGUGGUCCUCCUGGUAGAGGUGGUCGUGGUGGUGGACAUUUUCCUCCUGGAGGACCACCAGAUCCAGGAAUGUCUACUGGUCCAGGAGGUGGUGGACCACCAUUGCCAGGAAUGGGAGGUCCACCACGUGGUGGCAGUAGAGGAGGUGGAAGCAGUGGUUUUCGAGGUAGAGGAAGAGGUGAUUUUGGUAGAGGAGAUAAUCGUGGAGGUAGUAGUAAUUUUCGAGGUAGAGGAGGAAUGGAUAGAGGCAGCAGAGGUGGAUCUAGGGGAGGAUCUGGCAGAGGUGGUCCAGGAGGCAGAGGUUUUGGAGAUCGUGGGAAUAGAGGUAGUGGACGUGGUGGUGGUGGUCCAUCAAAAAGAGGUGGUGGACCUCCAGGUUCGAGUGGACCUUCAAAAAGACCAAGAUUUGAUCAACCAUCUUCUCAACCUGCAAAUGGUUAUGCAACACAACCACCAAGUCAAGGCGGAUAUGGAGGAAGUACUAGCAAUGCUUAUGGUGGAGGACAACAACAACCACAACAGCAACAGCCUGUGGGAUAUGGUGGCGGUUAUGGAUCACAAAAUUAUACUCAAUCAUCAUAUCAAAGUUAUGAAAGUUACCAGCAACCUCCAGAUUAUGGUCAAACAGCUGGAUAUCCACCAUCAGCAGCUACUGAUAGUAGGUAUGGUGGAGCACCUACUGUACCAGCUACAGGAGCUUUCAGUGCUGGUGAUCCUUAUAGUUAUGGCAAAGCACCACCAUCAGCCAAUUACCAGCAGGAGGCAGUGGUAGCAGUAGCAGGGGGUGGGGGUGCAGGUUAUGCCCCCAUUAACUCUUACGAUGACCGAUCUUCUAAUGCCACUUCUAUGACCAACAGGGGUGGUUACUCGACACAACUUUAUGAUUACUCGAGUCAAGAUGGUGUAUAUGGAAAACAAGAUUAUGGCGUAACAACAACCUGAGAUACUUAGGGAACAGAAUGAAAGAAAGAGAGAGUACCUUCCCUCUGUUACCAGCAAGGAGAAUACCGAUUCACACAAAUAACUAUACAAAUUUAUAUGAAUAAAUGACGACUGUAUCAUAAAUGUUAUUAAUGUCCAAUGGUAUCAGGUAUCACAUAAAUGAAGCCUAGAAAAUAUUGUUUUUUCUGUUAGAGUAUAUUAUGAUAUCUUUCAUUAAUUAGAAUGUCUUUAUUUAAUUUUUCUAAGUGACUAAAAAAACAUUUGAUCUUUGUGAUGCAUCUUUUUUUCAUUCAAGCAAUUCUUUUUCAAUAUAAUAAAUAAUAAUCAGCAUCACUCAAUCUAUUAUUUUCCAACUUAUCAUAUGCAAAAAUUUAAUUGCAUCUUGUACAUAUAUAUACAUAUAUAGAUAGACAACGAAAGCAUAUUUAAAAUGAAAAAGAAAAAGAUAAACAUUAUAUAGAAAAAAAAGCAAUGGAAAAGCAAGCAACAAGAAUAUCGAAUUAAAUCUAUGCUAACAUGUAUUACGCUCAUAUAUAUUAAAAGACAAAUGCUCGAGUAAACCUCAACCCGAAUUCAGGUUGAUAAUGACUAUGCUGUCACAGAUGGUACUACCAAUUCAUGAGCCAAGAAACAUCUGCCACAUGACUGGCAUCGACGUUGUUCCUAAGAAGAUUCAAGUGUAUUUUUAUUUUUCAAUGGCGAGUAUUGUAAAAAGAUAUAAAAUAUCGUAUUUUCCACGUGUGUUAUCGAAUGACUGAGUUCUUAAAAUUUGUAUAAAUUUAGUAAUUAAUUGAUAUAUAUUUAUGAUAAAAGAAUACUUUUCUUUUACAAAUAAAAAAUUUAUAAUUUGUACGAAUGUAAUAAA